Molecule: ribosomal RNA, 451 nt
Filed under: uncultured bacterium
Lineage: Bacteria
Description: bacterial SSU rRNA
Rfam family: Bacterial small subunit ribosomal RNA
Source: RNAcentral
UACGGGAGGCAGCAGUGGGGAAUAUUGCACAAUGGGCGCAAGCCUGAUGCAGCCAUGCCGCGUGUAUGAAGAAGGCCUUCGGGUUGUAAAGUACUUUCAGUCGUGAGGAAGGUGUUAAGGUUAAUAACCUUAGCAAUUGACGUUAGCGACAGAAGAAGCACCGGCUAACUCCGUGCCAGCAGCCGCGGUAAUACGGAGGGUGCGAGCGUUAAUCGGAAUUACUGGGCGUAAAGGGCACGCAGGCGGUUAAUUAAGUUGGAUGUGAAAUCCCCGGGCUUAACCUGGGAAUGGCAUUCAAGACUGGUUAGCUAGAGUCUUGUAGAGGGGGUAGAAUUCCAUGUGUAGCGGUGAAAUGCGUAGAGAUGUGGAGGAAUACCGGUGGCGAAGGCGGCCCCUGGACAAAGACUGACGCUCAUGUGCGAAAGCGUGGGGAGCAAACGAGGGAUUUAGA